RNAcentral lists this ribosomal RNA (844 nucleotides) under uncultured bacterium. RNAcentral describes it as "bacterial SSU rRNA". It matches the Rfam family "Bacterial small subunit ribosomal RNA", at positions 28 to 869 of the family's 1533-position model. The record is from RNAcentral.
GAUGAACGCUGGCGGCGUGCCUAACACAUGCAAGUCGAGCGGAGAGUACCGCCGAUGGAAGCUUCGGCCGAAAUCAUGGUAUUCUUAGCGGCGGAUGGGUGAGGAACGCGUGGAGAACCUGCCGCGCACAGGGGGAUAACAGUUGGAAACGCCUGUUAAUACCGCAUAUGCUCACGUUGCCGCAUGGCAAUGGGAGGAAAGAAUUAUCGGUGCGUGAUGGCUCCGCGUCGGAUUAGCCAGUUGGCGGGGUAACGGCCCACCAAAAGCGAUGAUCCGUAGCCGGCCUGAGAGGGCGACCGGCCACAUUGGGACUGAGACACGGCCCAAACUCCUACGGGAGGCAGCAGUGGGGGAUAUUGCACAAUGGGCGCAAGCCUGAUGCAGCGACGCCGCAUGAAGGAAGAAGUACUCCGGUAUGUAAACUUCUAUCAGCAGGGAAGAAGAUGACGGUACCUGAGUAAGAAGCCCCGGCUAACUACGUGCCAGCAGCCGCGGUAAUACGUAGGGGGCAAGCGUUAUCCGGAUUUACUGGGUGUAAAGGGAGCGCAGACGGCCAUACAAGUCUGAUGUGAAAUCCCGGGGCUCAGCCGCGGGACUGCAUUGGAAACUGUAAGGCUAGAGUACUGGAGGGGUAAGCGGAAUUCCUGGUGUAGCGGUGAAAUGCAUAGAUAUCAGGAGGAACACCGGUGGCGAAGGCGGCUUACUGGACAGAGACUGACGUUGAGGCUCGAAAGCGUGGGGAGCAAACAGGAUUAGAUACCCUGGUAGUCCACGCUGUAAACGAUGAUUACCAGGUGUGGGAAGGCAAAGCCUUUCCGUGCCGAAGCUAACGCAAUAAGUAUCC